RNAcentral lists this ribosomal RNA (301 nucleotides) under uncultured bacterium. RNAcentral describes it as "partial 16S ribosomal RNA". It matches the Rfam family "Bacterial small subunit ribosomal RNA", at positions 509 to 807 of the family's 1533-position model. The record is from RNAcentral.
CAGCCGCCGCGGUAAUACGUAGGUGGCAAGCGUUGUCCGGAAUUAUUGGGCGUAAAGGGCUCGCGGGCGGUUUCUUAAGUCUGAUGUGAAAGCCCCCGGCUCAACCGGGGAGGGUCAUUGGAAACUGGGAAACUUGAGUGCAGAAGAGGAGAGUGGAAUCCCACGUGUAGCGGUGAAAUGCGUAGAGAUGUGGAGGAACACCAGUGGCGAAGGCGACUCUCUGGUCUGUAACUGACGCUGAGGAGCGAAAGCGUGGGGAGCGAACAGGAUUAGAUACCCCUGUAGUCCCUGUCUCUUAUAC